RNAcentral lists this long non-coding RNA (961 nucleotides) under Solanum tuberosum (potato). Its description in RNAcentral is "long non-coding RNA (STUB_LNC001599)". The record is from RNAcentral. Lineage: Eukaryota; Viridiplantae; Streptophyta; Magnoliopsida; Solanales; Solanaceae.
GGGAAGCUCCAUCCGCAAUGGCUUCUUCUUCUUCAUCACAGAGCUUGGUUUUAAGAAAAAUUCAAGCACUUCAUUACUGGCAACUCCUCCUGGCGAGCCCUCUACCUCGAUAUAGCCGCUAGAUCGAUAAAGAUUCAAGCAUGGAUUGAAAUCACCUCCACAUCAAAAAACUCUCACUGAUUUCAUGAUUCAACAGUCAUUGAAGACUUCUUAUACCUAGAUGCAGGCGACCUGAGCGUAGGUUAUUAGCAAAGCUGAAGGAUGCCAAAACAGUCAGUGAUGGAACCUUGUCAAGAUGAGUUUCUUGUCUUUAAUUCCUUUGUGCAUUUUGGUACUCAGUCUUUUGAUUAAUCUCCUCAAAAGGUUGAACCCCAUCGAGAUUAAUAUCACUUUUUAAGUCGACACAUCGCAUACGUUGUAAUCAAACUAUUUAUCGCUUGGAAAUUAGUGGUACCAAAAAAUCUCCCCUUUCUCAUACUGUCGUAGAUACUUUAUCAUUCUAAACCUGUUGUAAUGUAUGUGCUUAUCCAUUGUAGCUUUUGUUUUGCACUUUGCUAAUCCUCAAAUUAGGUAUAUUUUCUUUCUCUAGUUACAAUAUUGUCCUAGCCUUCUGUGAUAGUUCUUGAAUGUUAUGAUAUUGUUGUCUCCCAAUUCCUGCAAAAUGAACAAACGAUUUAGUAAAAAAAAUCAUCUAGAUUUUUUCCUUCUUUGAAAGUAUGAACCACUUCCACCCUAUGAUUCUUUAUCAAUUGCUUAAUGAACUUGGCUUCCCAAGUUAUCUACCAUGGAACCUCCCACACUUCAUUUAGUACUUUCUAAGCUAACAGAGAAUCAGUCUCAAUAAUCAAGGAAAUCAAGGUCUUAUGAAUACAAUAAUAUAAGCCCUCCUUAAUUUGUCAUGAUCUCAGCCUCCAAAAUUGAGUCCUUUGUAACCCCUUUAGAUUCUGCAUACACCAGAUCC